This 255-nucleotide ribosomal RNA is filed under the name uncultured bacterium. RNAcentral's name for it is "partial 16S ribosomal RNA". It matches the Rfam family "Bacterial small subunit ribosomal RNA", at positions 524 to 777 of the family's 1533-position model. The record is from RNAcentral.
UACGGAGGGUGCGAGCGUUGUCCGGAAUCACUGGGCGUAAAGGGCGCGUAGGUGGCGUCGCAAGUCAACGGUGAAAGCUCGACGCUCAACGUCGAGUCGGCCGUCGAGACUGCGAGGCUUGAGCACUGUAGAGGCAGAUGGAAUUCCGGGGUGUAGCGGUGGAAUGCGUAGAGAUCCGGAAGAACACCGGUGGCGAAGGCGGUCUGCUGGGCAGUUGCUGACACUGAGGCGCGACACGGUGGGGAGCAAACAGGG